Mercurialis annua (annual mercury) is the source of this 537-nucleotide long non-coding RNA. RefSeq lists it as uncharacterized. NCBI's taxonomy places the organism in Eukaryota, Viridiplantae, Streptophyta, Magnoliopsida, Malpighiales, Euphorbiaceae. The transcript is spliced from 2 exons. The record is from RefSeq and is a predicted model, not a curated record.
CUCACUUUUAUUGUUUUGUCAGCCCGUGUUGAAUUAUACGGUCUUCUUUAAUGUUCUUGUAAAAUUACCUUAUUUUAUCUUCAUUAUUACAGUUAAGAUGAAGAUGUCAUCAAUUUCCAUCUCCGCCACGGAGACUGAGCGCAAGGUGAAGGGUCGACUCCUUUUAAAUAUUAUAGUCAGCAAGCGUCCUCCAUCCUUCAGCUGCUUCCCGGCAAAGAUCAACCGUUGAUGAUCCAGGAGGAUCCUUUCUUUAUCUUGAUUCUUGGCUUUCACAUUAUCAAUCGUAUUGGGAUUCAGAUUUAAUUGUUUGUUAUUGGAUUGGACUUCUGAGGUGGGAAGAAGGCAAAGAAUGUUGGCGCAUUAUGUCUUAGUUUUAAUGCUCAUGUAAACUUCUUUUAGUUUUGUAAUUUUAAGAACUAAUUAAUUAAUUUGCUAUGAUUUGUAGCUAUGAGCAGUUAAAGAACUAUUACUUUUUUACAUAUGAGAUGUAAUUUGAAUGUCAAUUUAUUGAAUGCAGCUUAUUUUAUUUUCUCAAAA